GAACGCUGGCGGCGUGCCUACACAUGCAAGUCGAGCGGUAACAGGUGUAGCAAUACAUGCUGACGAGCGGCGAACGGGUGAGUAAUGUUUCGGAAUCUGCCCAAUGGUGGGGAAUAACCAGCCGAAAGGUUGGCUAAUACCGCAUAAGUCCUACGGGAGAAAGCGGGGGAUCGCAAGACCUCGCGCCGAUGGAUGAGCCGAAACCGGAUUAGCUAGUUGGUAGGGUAACGGCCUACCAAGGCGACGAUCCGUAGCUGGUCUGAGAGGACGACCAGCCACACUGGGACUGAGACACGGCCCAGACUCCUACGGGAGGCAGCAGUGGGGAAUAUUGGACAAUGGGGGAAACCCUGAUCCAGCGACGCCGCGUGUGUGAAGAAGGCCUGCGGGUUGUAAAGCACUUUUAGUGGGGAUGAAAAGCUCAGGGCUAAUACCGCUGAGUCUUGACCUAACCCAAAGAAAAAGCACCGGCUAACUCUGUGCCAGCAGCCGCGGUAAUACAGAGGGUGCAAGCGUUAAUCGGAAUUACUGGGCGUAAAGCGUGCGUAGACGGUAGCGUAAGUCGGGUGUGAAAGCCCCGGGCUCAACC
Molecule: ribosomal RNA, 589 nt
Filed under: uncultured bacterium
Lineage: Bacteria
Description: bacterial SSU rRNA
Rfam family: Bacterial small subunit ribosomal RNA
Source: RNAcentral